AUUGAACGCUGGCGGCAGGCUUAACACAUGCAAGUCGAGCGGGGGAAGGUAGCUUGCUACUGGACCUAGCGGCGGACGGGUGAGUAAUGCUUAGGAAUCUGCCUAUUAGUGGGGGACAACAUCUCGAAAGGGAUGCUAAUACCGCAUACGUCCUACGGGAGAAAGCAGGGGAUCUUCGGACCUUGCGCUAAUAGAUGAGCCUAAGACGGAUUAGCUAGUUGGUGGGGUAAAGGCCUACCAAGGCGACGAUCUGUAGCGGGUCUGAGAGGAUGAUCCGCCACACUGGGACUGAGACACGGCCCAGACUCCUACGGGAGGCAGCAGUGGGGAAUAUUGGACAAUGGGGGGGAACCCUGAUCCAGCCAUGCCGCGUGUGUGAAGAAGGCCUUAUGGUUGUAAAGCACUUUAAGCGAGGAGGAGGCUACUUUAGUUAAUACCUAGAGAUAGUGGACGUUACUCGCAGAAUAAGCACCGGCUAACUCUGUGCCAGCCGCCGCCGUAA
This 502-nucleotide ribosomal RNA is filed under the name uncultured bacterium. RNAcentral describes it as "partial 16S ribosomal RNA". It matches the Rfam family "Bacterial small subunit ribosomal RNA", at positions 30 to 523 of the family's 1533-position model. The record is from RNAcentral.